CCAUACGACCGUACCGCAAACCGACACUGGUGCGCGAGAUGAGUAUUCUAAGGCGCUUGAGAGAACUCAGGAGAAGGAACUCGGCAAAUUGACACCGUAACUUCGGAAGAAGGUGUGCCCUAUUAGUGUGUAGUGAACAACGAAGCAUGAAUGGGUUGCAAAAAAUCGGUGGCUGCGACUGUUUAUUAAAAACACAGCACUCUGCAAACACGAAAGUGGACGUAUAGGGUGUGACGCCUGCCCGGUGCUGGAAGAUUAAAUGAUGGGGUGCAAGCUCUUGAUUGAAGUCCCAGUAAACGGCGGCCGUAACGAUAACGGUCCUAAGGUAGCGAAAUUCCUUGUCGGGUAAGUUCCGACCUGCACGAAUGGCGUAACGAUGGCCACACUGUCUCCUCCUGAGACUCAGCGAAGUUGAAAUGUUUGUGAUGAUGCAAUCUCCCCGCGGAAAGACGGAAAGACCCCAUGAACCUUUACUGUAGCUUUGUAUUGGACUUUGAACAGAUCUGUGUAGGAUAGGUGGGAGGCUUUGAAGCAGGGUCGCUAGAUCUUGUGGAGCCAACGUUGAAAUACCACCCUGGUGUGUUUGAGGUUCUAACCUAGGCCCAUUAUCUGGAUCGGGGACAGUGCAUGGUAGGCAGUUUGACUGGGGCGGUCUCCUCCCAAAGCGUAACGGAGGAGUUCGAAGGUACGCUAGUUACGGUCGGACAUCGUGACGAUAGUGCAAUGGCAUAAGCGUGCUUAACUGCGAGACUGACAAGUCGAGCAGAUGCGAAAGCAGGACAUAGUGAUCCGGUGGUUCUGUAUGGAAGGGCCAUCGCUCAACGGAUAAAAGGUACUCUGGGGAUAACAGGCUGAUACCGCCCAAGAGUUCAUAUCGACGGCGGUGUUUGGCACCUCGAUGUCGGCUCAUCUCAUCCUGGGGCUGUAGCCGGUCCCAAGGGUAUGGCUGUUCGCCAUUUAAAGAGGUACGUGAGCUGGGUUUAAAACGUCGUGAGACAGUUUGGUCCCUAUCUUCCGUGGGCGCUGCAGAUUUGAGGAAGCCUGCUCCUAGUACGAGAGGACCGGAGUGGACACACCUCUGGUGUAUCGGUUGUCACGCCAGUGGCAUUGCCGAGUAGCUAAGUGUGGAAGAGAUAACCGCUGAAAGCAUCUAAGCGGGAAACUCGUUUCAAGAUGAGAUCUGCCGGGGCCUUGAGCCCCCUAAAGAGUCGUUCAAGACCAGGACGUUGAUAGGUCAGGUGUGGAAGU
This 1248-nucleotide ribosomal RNA is filed under the name metagenome. RNAcentral describes it as "bacterial LSU rRNA". It matches the Rfam family "Bacterial large subunit ribosomal RNA", at positions 1634 to 2874 of the family's 2925-position model. The record is from RNAcentral.